This is a long non-coding RNA of Rhinolophus ferrumequinum (greater horseshoe bat), 978 nucleotides long. RefSeq lists it as uncharacterized. Lineage: Eukaryota; Metazoa; Chordata; Mammalia; Chiroptera; Rhinolophidae. The transcript has 3 exons. The record is from RefSeq and is a predicted model, not a curated record.
AGGUGGGCAGGAAAAACAAAUACCACCUCAGAGGAAGCCACGGGCCCAGGGAGAUGCCGGAAACUCCAGGAAAAUGAGUGCCUGACACAUAGGAGGCUUCUGACGGAUGGACAGUGACUGUUUGUGGAGUCCUUCGCAGAAGCCCUGCUCUCACUGAGAACAGAAGAGGCGCAUCCGAGAAAAGCAUGUUGGAGGGAAUGGGGUGCACAGAGGGCCCCAAACCUGUGCCCCACAUGGAGAACAGCUCCCGGCAAGUUGACUGUCUGUCGGCCAGGAAGUGACGCGGGCAUCUGGGAAAGGGACUGAGGGAAGAAGGAAGGAGCCUGCCCUGGGUUCCUGAGGAACCCUUGUUGUUUCUGUCUGCGGAGGCCAGUGCCAAACAUGCCAGCUCAGCACCCUCCCCUAAGGACAACCUGUCCGUCUCUUGCCGCAGGGCAGAUCUCCUGAGCAGUCACCUCUUAGAGCCUCUGAAUUCCUGAACAGUGAAGAUAAAUAUAAAAAACAAAGUAACUUAUAUUCUUUAUAGAGGUUUUAAAAGCACAGACAAGUACAACAGACAGAUAAAAUAACUCGCCACUUAGAAAUAACCACUAUCCCUCCAACAUUUGAUGAUGACAAAUUUCAAACAUACAAAGUAGUUGCAAGAAUCCUAAGAAGUACUCCCACGCACCCACCAUCUAGAUUCUGCAAUUCCCAUUUCCUGUUUGCUUGCUCACAGCUCUACCUAUAUUCCAGGCCCUGACUUAUCCAUUGAUUUAUCUAAUUUUUUGAUGCAUUUCAAAUUAAGUUGAAGACAACAAUAUGCUCUCCCAAAACACUUUAGUAUGAAUAUUAUUAAUUAGAGUGAAAUAACUUUAAAAACUUUUAUUAUGGAAAUAUCAAAUGCACAAAAGUGAAGAGAAUGCUAUAAUUACAUCAGAACACCCAUCACUCAGCCUCACCAAGUGUCAACAUUUUUUCAAUCUUGUUUCACCUAUC